GGGGGUAUAGCUCAUUGGUACAGCACAUGCUUAGCAUGCAUGAGGAGGCACUGGGUCUGAUUCCCAGUAUUUGCA
RNAcentral lists this transfer RNA (75 nucleotides) under Marmota marmota marmota (Alpine marmot). It matches the Rfam family "tRNA". Rfam says of the family: Transfer RNA (tRNA) molecules are approximately 80 nucleotides in length. RNAcentral also lists the same sequence under 1 other name. The record is from Rfam by way of RNAcentral. Lineage: Eukaryota; Metazoa; Chordata; Mammalia; Rodentia; Sciuridae.